CCUAUACAUGCAAGUCGAGCGAACAGACGAGGAGCUUGCUCCUUUGACGUUAGCGGCGGACGGGUGAGUAACACGUGGGUAACCUACCUAUAAGACUGGGAUAACUUCGGGAAACCGGAGCUAAUACCGGAUAAUAUUUCGAACCGCAUGGUUCGAUAGUGAAAGAUGGCUUUGCUAUCACUUAUAGAUGGACCUGCGCCGUAUUAGCUAGUUGGUAAGGUAACGGCUUACCAAGGCAACGAUACGUAGCCGACCUGAGAGGGUGAUCGGCCACACUGGAACUGAGACACGGUCCAGACUCCUACGGGAGGCAGCAGUAGGGAAUCUUCCGCAAUGGGCGAAAGCCUGACGGAGCAACGCCGCGUGAGUGAUGAAGGUCUUCGGAUCGUAAAACUCUGUUAUUAGGGAAGAACAAACGUGUAAGUAACUGUGCACGUCUUGACGGUACCUAAUCAGAAAGCCACGGCUAACUACGUGCCAGCAGCGGCCCGGGUAAUAAA
Molecule: ribosomal RNA, 500 nt
Filed under: Staphylococcus hominis
Lineage: Bacteria; Bacillati; Bacillota; Bacilli; Caryophanales; Staphylococcaceae
Description: bacterial SSU rRNA
Rfam family: Bacterial small subunit ribosomal RNA
Source: RNAcentral